GACGAACGCUGGCGGCGUGCCUAAUACAUGCAAGUAGAACGCUCAAGAGAGGAGCUUACUCUUCUGGUAUGAGUUGCGAACGGGUGAGUAACGCGUAGGUAACCUGCCUUUUAGCGGGGGAUAACUAUUGGAAACGAUAGCUAAUACCGCAUAACAAUGGAUGACACAUGUCAUUUAUUUGAAAGAGGCCAUUGCUCCACUACAAGGUGGACCUGCGUUUUAUUAGCUAGUAGGUUAGGUAAUGGCUCAACUAGGCGACCGUACAUAGCCCACCUGAGAGGGGGAUCGGCCAAACCGGGAAUGAGACAACGCCCAAAAUCCUAAGGGAGGCAGCCGUAGGGAAUCCUCGGCAAUGGGGGCAACCCUGAACGAGCGACGCCGCGUGAAGGGAGAAGGUUCUCGGAUUGUAAAGCCUUGUUGACUGUGAAGAACGGGUGUGAGAGUGGACAGUUCACACUGUGACGGUAGCUAACCAGAAAGGCACGGCUAACUACGUG
This 497-nucleotide ribosomal RNA is filed under the name uncultured bacterium. Its description in RNAcentral is "partial 16S ribosomal RNA". It matches the Rfam family "Bacterial small subunit ribosomal RNA", at positions 28 to 507 of the family's 1533-position model. The record is from RNAcentral.